RNAcentral lists this long non-coding RNA (1613 nucleotides) under Panax ginseng (ginseng). RNAcentral describes it as "long non-coding RNA (PGIN_LNC007485)". The record is from RNAcentral. Lineage: Eukaryota; Viridiplantae; Streptophyta; Magnoliopsida; Apiales; Araliaceae.
UUUGUACUACAUAUACAAUUUAAUUUUAUUUUUACAUUGAAUUUCCAGUAAACGUACUACGUAGCCUGCCUGGGUUAAUUUUUGUGGCAUACAUUCACCUAAACAUCACAACCACAAACUCAAGCCAUGAACGGCAGCUUCUAUCUCUAGUACAAUCUGAGAAUCAGAAUGGAUAUCCAAAUACAAGCCAUGAACCAAUGAGACGCUGCUAAUGUGUAGAUUUCCUAAUCCACAAAUCUUUACAAUUCCAUAUAUAACACCUCUUCAUCCUCACCAACUAGCAAUAAGCUCCUCCUUGUUCACCAGCACCACUUAAACAAAGCAGCUUUCAUCAAUAAGCAUGGCAACCUCAGCAAUCCAACGGUCUGCAUUCGCCGGCCAGACUGCUUUGAAGCCGCAGAAUGAGCUGGUCAGGAAGAUUGGCAGCUUGGGAGGUGGCCGCAUCACCAUGAGGCGUACCGUCAGAAGUGCUCCAGAGAGCAUAUGGUAAAUACCAGCUACUGCUACUAUAUUACUAACUCAAUUCAUAAUAAAUUCUUGCAUAUAAUUAACUUAACUAUGAUAUAACCAAAACUAAUUGAUAUAAUGAUAACUGGUUAUUCUCAUGAAAAACACAACUUCAAAACCCAAGAUUUCAUUCAAUAGCUUUCCACUUCAAUGUAAGUUGAAUUUGAAACAAGACUAUUUCAAUUUGAUAAAGCUAAUUUGCUCAUUGUAUACAAAGGAAACUUGCUUUCCUCCAUAUAUGCCUAAAUGCAUACUUUGUAGUGACAAAUUGUAUCUGUAAUUGGUUUGACAGGUACGGACCUGACCGCCCAAAGUACUUGGGCCCAUUCUCCGAGCAAACUCCAUCAUACCUGACCGGUGAAUUCCCUGGAGACUAUGGGUGGGACACUGCUGGACUUUCAGCUGACCCAGAGACAUUUGCCAAGAACCGUGAGCUCGAAGUGAUCCACAGCAGAUGGGCCAUGCUUGGUGCACUAGGCUGUGUCUUCCCUGAAAUUCUUGCAAGGAAUGGUGUCAAAUUCGGCGAGGCAGUUUGGUUCAAGGCCGGAGCCCAAAUCUUCUCCGAAGGUGGCCUUGACUAUCUUGGCAACCCAAACCUUGUCCAUGCCCAGAGCAUCCUGGCUAUCUGGGCCAGCCAAGUUGUGCUCAUGGGAUUUGUGGAAGGAUACCGAGUUGGUGGAGGUCCACUUGGUGAAGGACUAGACAAAAUUUACCCGGGAGGUUCUUUUGACCCACUUGGAUUGGCUGAUGAUCCUGAAGCAUUUGCUGAAUUGAAGGUUAAGGAGCUUAAGAACGGACGAUUGGCAAUGUUUUCUAUGUUUGGAUUCUUUGUCCAGGCCAUUGUCACCGGAAAGGGCCCAAUUGAGAACCUCUACGACCACCUUGCUGACCCAGUAGCCAACAAUGCAUGGGCUUAUGCCACUAACUUUGUACCCGGAAAGUGAAACUAUCAAAUUCUCUUCUCUCUCGGCUGUAAUAUUAAACUUGUUUGGUGACAUCCAACUUCUGUAAUCUUUACCUGUUCCCUCAAGUAAUAUAGCAAGCAGAGAUGCUUAUCUGGGCAAUAUCUUGGAUGGAUUAUCAGCAACUUUAUCAUGGAAUUAAAA